GCUUAGCCCCGAUAGAAGUGGAAAUCCUUUUGUGCUGGGGUUCAGCACAAAAGAUUGAAACGGAUAGCGGGAUUAUUG
RNAcentral lists this small RNA (78 nucleotides) under Flavobacterium cutihirudinis. RNAcentral describes it as "Flavo-1 RNA". It matches the Rfam family "Flavo-1 RNA". The record is from RNAcentral. Lineage: Bacteria; Pseudomonadati; Bacteroidota; Flavobacteriia; Flavobacteriales; Flavobacteriaceae.